CGCUAUCACUCCUACGGGGAGGCAGCAGUAGGAAUCUUCACAAUGGGCGCAAGCCUGAUGGAGCAACACCGCGUGAGUGAAGAAGGGUUUCGGCUCGUAAAGCUCUGUUGUUAAAGAAGAACACGUAUGAGAGUAACUGUUCAUACGUUGACGGUAUUUAACCAGAAAGUCACGGCUAACUACGUGCCAGCAGCCGCGGUAAUACGUAGGUGGCAAGCGUUAUCCGGAUUUAUUGGGCGUAAAGAGAGUGCAGGCGGUUUCUAAGUCUGAUGUGAAAGCCUUCGGCUUAACCGGAGAAGUGCAUCGGAAACUGGAUAACUUGAGUGCAGAAGAGGGUAGUGGAACUCCCAUGUGUAGCGGUGGAAUGCGUAGAUAUAUGGAAGAACACCAGUGGCGAAGGCGGCUACCUGGUCUGCAACCGACGCUGAGACUCGAAAGCAUGGGUAGCGAACAGGAUUAGAUACCCUGGUAG
Molecule: ribosomal RNA, 472 nt
Filed under: uncultured bacterium
Lineage: Bacteria
Description: bacterial SSU rRNA
Rfam family: Bacterial small subunit ribosomal RNA
Source: RNAcentral